UCUUCUUCUCCCCAGUCGUUCUGCUGCGCUCUUCCGUGGGCUCCCUGGGGUAGGCGCAUGGCAGGUGAGGCUGCUGGGCUGCUGGCUUCUCUUCAGCAGCUGCUCUUGCCAAAGAGUGAAGGAGACUGCUGGGCUGUGUCAGGGCUGGCCCGGUGCUAGUCACUCUGUGAAGCAGCACAGCUGAUAUCAUUCUUCCAGGAACCUGCAAAGGAGAGUCAUCAGACACGUGCCUCAGUGACCUUGGAAACCCUCAGUCUGUAAUCAUGGUGAAAACAAUCAACCUAGCCAUCACUGGAGGAGGCAGAAUGGAGGCCUGUCUGAAGUUUCCUUAAAGACUUCACUCACAAGGCUUCUCUUCAUUAUAUUUGACUCAGAUCUUGUCCAGUACCAGGAGCCUUUUCCCAGAAGUGUUUAUCUAAACUAAGUAAAGACAUAAAAGCAUGGAAAGAAAGGAUGGGGGCAGACAAACACAGAUCCCGUGGUGGAGUGAGGGGCAUGGCGUUCUGAAGAGGAGGCCUUCCUUUCCAUCUGCUUCCGUCAUCUGUAAAACAGGGCCAUGUUGCCUCACCUGCCGCUGCGGUGUUAUGAGGAUUGAAUGAGGCAGUGUGUGCAGGAGGCUUUGUAACGGAAAGCCACAGAUGCAGUUUCUGGAUAUGAUGAUGACAACAGCAGUGUUUCCAUGCGGACAUCUCACACAUGUGGAAAAACACCAGGCAUGCUGGCUGAUAUCUCACGCUCCUCCUCCUAGCCCUCCGAUAUCUCCAGAGGCUCUGCCCACUGCAUCACCCAGGGCUGAGUGAAUUGAGGGACAGCACCUGUGAGGCUCUCAGCCCUGCCGCCCCUGUGCAGCCCAUUCUGUUUGGCAGGCUCCGGGCUGCUGAGUUGUGGGCUCCCCAGAGGGGAACAGCAUAAAUCAGGUGGCUCGGAGCUGGGUGUCAGCAUUGGCCCCGGCUGUGCUCUGCUGGGAACACGGAGGAACGCCCAGAUUCCAGGAAGGGUCACUGUACCGCGUUGCCCUUUCACCUCCGAACAGACCUUCUGUUUCCAGUGUUCCCUCAGUUGUGAAAGAUGCCAGCCUCUCAACCUUGUGGACGUAGCUUUGUCCACUCCCCUACUGGCCCCAGAGCCAGGGCUGGAAAACGGGGCAGCCAUGGCUCUGAAAUGCCUCAGGCUGCUCCCAGUGAACGUGACCUUGUUCCUUAACUAUUUGCAUCUGUAUGUAUCCAAUUUCAUUUUCCCCCCCGAGGCUCAGGCUCAGAUAAGAUCCUCCAGCUUGGACACAUGUAAGUAGACAGAAGGAUACUUGUGAAACUCUAUUUUUAGUGGAAGAGGAACUUGUUCUCCCCGAAAGGCAGCUCCCGACUUCCUGCACUCCCACCCCAUCCUCAGAGCGCUGCAGUGCACGUAGUUCAGCACGAGGUUCUGAGGCAGAACCAUUCACAGAAAGUGCUUACUCAGCUUCUCCACCACGUUCAGGACCUAGAAAGCGGUAGGUCUGCCAACUGCAGUCUCAGGAACAGCACUGGAUUCACUUCUUCAAAAGCCACCUGGUAAUGCAUGACUACAGGGAUUCACAUGUCCUUCGAGGUGAUGUCCUCAAUUAUAAAAUUAUUAACAAAGCCCAUUCUAACUUCUCCAGUCAGAGGAAAGUAAUCAUCAGAAAGGUGCUGGGCCUGGGAGAUUUCAGAGUAAUGGCUGGUGUACACUGAGGUAUCGGGAUUCUCAGUAGCUCUGAGAAGUCCUGCCUCGGAUGAGUGUGUGUGUGUUGGGCCCAGACGCACACAGGCCAGCUUAUAAACAGUGUGCGUGCUCUUUCAGACAAAUCAUGGCAGUCUUAUUGGAAUGCUGAACAGAAAAAGAAAUGGUGUCCUCCCCUCUUGUUCAAUUUUUUUUUCUGUCCAUUUGAAUAAUGAUACUGUGUUGACAAUAAUAGUGUUCAUGUGACUUAACUACAGCAAACCCAUCCAAGCAAAGGUGAAAGAGGCGGCCAAGCGGUGCCCCAAACAUACAAGUGCCGCCAAGUGCACAGCGGCACCUCCACGAGUGCUCCAGGAUGCUUCUGCCUCGGGAAGCUCACAGAGCCCUGGCUGUUGGGGACAGACACCAUGGGGACCUGCACAUAUCCAAAUUACCCGGAAGGCCCUUGCAGAAGUGACUUGAUCAAAGACAUUCCAUUCAAUGUUCAACACUAAAAGAGAAAAUUGACUUUGCGCAGGGUGUAGUUCUCACUAUAACGAAGAGUUGUCACAAAAACAAAGAAAAGUGGAAGUGGAAGUUUCCAGAGAGCAUCCUAAGACCAGCAGAGCCUCUCUGCAGAAGUCUCUGAGGGUGUCCACAGGUAGUGGGGCGGAGCCAGGAGGAGAAGGACCCCAGGGGGCUGGGUAGCACCUGUCAGACUUGCACUGCUCGCAGAGACAGAGCUGUGGCCAUGGGGAGGUGUUGGCGGCUGCUGGCUUAGUGGUAUGUAAAUAACGAACUCUUGGUGGGAGGCCUAUGGGUUUCAGAACAUAUGCUGUAACAGAUGGGAUGUACAUCAGCAGGAUUGGGGGUGCACUCCGGGACCUGCCAAUCACUGGCAUCCCACUUCUGGAAGGGAAGAAGCCUUUGGCAAAGAGGCAUUGUAUCGCCGUUUCACGCACAUUUCAGGGCAGUGACCUUGCCCACAAUGACCUCUCUACCCCCCAGCAGCCCAGAGAGCCCCAGCAAGGCUUCACAUCAGUCUGGAGGUAUUUUACUCUUUAACUAGAUCCGUGGUUCUCAGAGUGGGAUCCUGGACCAACAGCAGCAGUGGCACCUGGAAACUUGUUAGAAAAAAAAAUUCCAGCCCACUCCACAACUGCUGGGUCGGAAACUCCAGAGGGUGGCCCACAGUCCAUGUUGUAACAAACCUCCUGUGGUUCCUAGACAAGCUAAAGUUGGAGAGCCACCGAACUAGCUCGUCAUCUAGUUAGGGACCAGAGUUCUGUUAUUUUUCUCCGUUUACCCUUCUUUUUUAGACCUAGCACAUUAAUGGACACAAAGCAUGAUCCAGAUAGAUAUUUCUGAAGGGAAUAGAGAAAGAAAGGAAGGGGCUCUGAUACAAUUUUGGCUUCUCUCCUUAAGCAUGGCUUCAGAAUGAAAAGCUGAAAUCUGAGAAAGAUUGUACCCCAGUGACGGUUUAUUUUACACACUCCUCAGGUGCAAGAUGCAUUGGAUGGGAUGGGUGUCUGCUCCUGCCAGACCCUUAGAAGAGCAAAUUCCACAGAGGAAUAAAGGACUAAUGGAAGCCAGGUCUUGACUUUGGGAAUACAGAAGCUCCUGGACUAGAGAUGAGAUUGCAUCCCAAUAAACCUCUUGUAAGUUGAAAAUAUCAUAAAUCAUAAAUGCAUUCAAUACACCUAACCUACUGAACCUCAUAGCUUAGUGUAGCUGGACUCUAUUGAAUGAAUGCCUAUCGCUUUUGUACCAUUGUAAUGUAGAACAAUCCUAGUUGAACUAUUUUAAGUCUGGGUCCGUCUGUAUUCCAUUUGAAAUGACAAGAUUCAGCCUGCAGUGUCAUGGAUUUGCCAAUUAAAAAAACCGAACCAAAGUAGCUAUUGAUGAAGCUUUUACAGAGUAUUUGCUCCAGCGUGGAUGAGUGGUGCUUCCAUCAGAAACACUCCAACAUCCAAAGUACAGACUCGGAGAGGCUGCUGCUAAAAGGCUGCACGACACACUUGGUCCAGACCCUACCUCCCCCAGCAAGGCAGGUGUGCAUUCCUGCCACCAAAGCUGAGAGUGGAACAAGAAUGGGCUUUUAUCAGGCAAAGGAUUUCUUCAAGUCACUUAUGCUGACUGAGUUUUUAAUUUCUUCAUCAGCAAAAUAAAGCUAUUAAUAUUUUCCUCAAAUACUCUUUGUGGGUGUUA
Molecule: long non-coding RNA, 3885 nt
Organism: Hipposideros armiger (great roundleaf bat)
Lineage: Eukaryota; Metazoa; Chordata; Mammalia; Chiroptera; Hipposideridae
Exons: 3
Source: RefSeq, a predicted model, not a curated record